AUGUAUCUGGCAUUUUCAGUGCCUUUUCCCAAAAAAAUAGUUGGGUUUCUGUUUGUGAAUCAUUCAGAUUUGCAUCAGUUAGAAAGCUGGCUGAACAGUUCUAUAUUUUUGCUUCUUCUGUUAUUUUCCAGUGGUUCACCUCACACCUCUUUUCCUUCUCUCAAUGCCUGUUUCUCACACCAAAAGGGUGACAUUUUCAUCUCCUACUUAAUUUUGUUGGAAUGCCUGAAUCUCUGGACAGAGAGGUCAUCCACCACAGAAGGCCAUCACGUAUGGCACAGCAGGCAGAGGCUUUGCAGAUUAUUCUGGGCAGCUCAGAGGUGGAUCCCACUUACAGGCUGGAACCCCUGGACUUGGAGACCAGCACUCAAGGUGGCUGCUGGGUAAGGAGGGGCUGUGCAGACCUGUAAGCAGAAACACCAGAGCUGCUGGGAGACAAAGGCAAAGAGAAAAACAAAAGGCUGAGAUGAGGGUGAAGCACCAGAGACAGCCCCAUCCUGGCAUGCCAGUAGGCAACUAAAUAAUUGAAAUAUUUGCUGUCAAGUUGCCAUGUUUUCAUAGUGUCCCUUACAAAAACCACUGCACAUUAUGAUGCUAUAAAUCUUUAUUUAUCUACAUCUUCACAACCAGAAGCUUCCCAUUACCCAAAAGAAGGGUGAAUCCCAUGAGACACAUUAAUGGCCAUAAAAACUCCUCCUGUUAUCUUAAACCUUGAUGAAUCAACCUUAUUUAGUGCAUGAUAGUGGGAUAAUUGAAGCUGUCCCUGUAUUUUUUAAAAAGUGCAAUAAGUACUUUAGCAUCUGCAGCUCCAUUUCCUUAUUACACAGAUAUUGGUGCUUCCUGGAAAGCCUUGUGAAAUCCUCUGCUUGGGGACAGUUCCACUGCUCUAUAUUUUCGGGGCACGUUAGCUGGGGGUUCCUGUUUGAAGCAUUUUUAGCAGGAGAGCAGGAUUGCUGCUUCUCACAAACCCAUCUGUUCCUGCUGCUCAUUCACAACCUGAGCCACAGACUCCUGUCAUCUCCCUGUCACUUUGGAAAAUAAUAACUGUGGGAGGACAAUAUAAUGGAUUAUUCACUGGCAUAUUCCUAGAUAUUAAAAGUACAAUUUGGGGGUUGGUUCCAGAAAAAUGGAAAAUUAUUUUAGAUGGGCUUAACAUAAUUAUGAGCAAAUUAGGCCUGAUCCUCAUCUCACUUGGGUCUACAUUCACUCACAACUCGUGGAGCUGGCUGGUAUUUUUGGAAUGUGAAGUCUUCAGUGACAUUUUUUACAACAGAGGUAAUUUGGAGAGAAAAGUUCUGUAAUUUUCCUGGGCUUUUUUUCUUCUUCCUUUUUGGCUUUUUUUGGUUUCUUAUUUCAGCAAACACAUGCAAAAAAAAAAAAAAUUCUUGCAAGAAUUUUCCACAAAGAGAACAACAUUUUGUGUUUUCUUGAGAGC
Molecule: long non-coding RNA, 1435 nt
Filed under: Taeniopygia guttata (zebra finch)
Lineage: Eukaryota; Metazoa; Chordata; Aves; Passeriformes; Estrildidae
Description: lncRNA (ENSTGUG00000025622.1)
Source: RNAcentral